Long non-coding RNA from Manis javanica (Malayan pangolin), 477 nucleotides. RefSeq lists it as uncharacterized. The record is from RefSeq and is a predicted model, not a curated record. NCBI's taxonomy places the organism in Eukaryota, Metazoa, Chordata, Mammalia, Pholidota, Manidae.
CUUCCCCCAGCCUCUGUCGGGAGCUCCGGAAAAGCCUGGAGAUUCUGGGAGCAGAAUGCACAUUCCAGGGUUGGGAGCUAAGGCCAGGCUGGAGAUCGGGCACCGUCAUCAGAAGUAAAAAACAUACGAUUGUCUUGACUUCAGUCUGUUGCUUGCUGUCAGGUACUAACAGUGAAUGGAAAUUUCCAUCCAGCCUAACACUGACUGAUUCCGAGGACACAUGGGUGCCCAUGUUGCUCUGUUUGCCACAGUGAUUACCCACCGUCACUCCGGCUUCUGAGACCAUAUCGGAGCCUACAGACUCUCACUCUGGUCUGCUGUCAUCACAAAUGCCAAACAUUUACCAAAAGUGCUAAGUCUCUGGACCCAUGGGUUUAGCUCAUUUUGAAAACAGAACUGGACUUUUUACCCAGAACCAGAAAACAUUGAAAACAUUAAACAACAAAAAUCUGUGGUGUGUUUAUUAAAAGCAAAGAU